This 403-nucleotide ribosomal RNA is filed under the name uncultured bacterium. RNAcentral's name for it is "bacterial SSU rRNA". It matches the Rfam family "Bacterial small subunit ribosomal RNA", at positions 355 to 772 of the family's 1533-position model. The record is from RNAcentral.
UGGGGAAUUUUACGCAAUGGGGGAAACCCUGACGUAGCGACACCGCGUGAGCGAAGAAGCCUUUUGGGGUGUAAAGCUCUGUCAGCUGGAACGAACACAAUGACGGUACCAGCAGAGGAAGCAUCGGCUAACUACGUGCCAGCAGCCGCGGUAAGACGUAGGAUGCAAGCGUUGUCCGGAUUCAUUGGGCGUAAAGAGUUCGUAGGUGGUCUGUUAAGUUUGGUGUUAAAGAGCGGGGCCCAACCCCGAUAGUGCACUGAAUACUGGCAGACUUGAGUGCGGUAGAGGUAAGUGGAAUUCCAAGUGUAGCGGUGAAAUGCAUAGAUAUUUGGAAGAACACCGGUGGCGUAAGCGACUUACUGGGCCGUAACUGACACUGAGGAACGAAAGCCGGGGUAGCGAA